This 377-nucleotide ribosomal RNA is filed under the name Clostridioides difficile. RNAcentral's name for it is "partial 23S ribosomal RNA". It matches the Rfam family "Bacterial large subunit ribosomal RNA", at positions 2239 to 2615 of the family's 2925-position model. Lineage: Bacteria; Bacillati; Bacillota; Clostridia; Peptostreptococcales; Peptostreptococcaceae. The record is from RNAcentral.
UCUGGUCUUGGGACACUGUCAGGUGGGCAGUUUGACUGGGGCGGUCGCCUCCCAAAAGGUAACGGAGGCGCUCAAAGGUUCUCUCAGUACGGUCGGAAAUCGUACGUAGAGUGUAAAGGCAAAAGAGAGCUUGAUUGCAAGACAUACAGGUCGAGCAAGGAUGAAAAUCGGACUUAGUGAUCCGGUGGUUCUGCGUGGAAGGGCCAUCGCUCAACGGAUAAAAGCUACCCUGGGGAUAACAGGCUUAUCUCCCCCAAGAGUCCACAUCGACGGGGAGGUUUGGCACCUCGAUGUCGGCUCAUCACAUCCUGGGGCUGUAGUAGGUCCCAAGGGUUGGGCUGUUCGCCCAUUAAAGUGGUACGCGAGCUGGGUUCAGA